UACGUAGGGUCCGAGCGUUGUCCGGAAUUACUGGGCGUAAAGAGCUCGUAGGUGGUUUGUCGCGUUGUUCGUGAAAACUCACAGCUCAACUGUGGGCGUGCGGGCGAUACGGGCAGACUUGAGUACUGCAGGGGAGACUGGAAUUCCUGGUGUAGCGGUGAAAUGCGCAGAUAUCAGGAGGAACACCGAUGGCGAAGGCAGGUCUCUGGGCAUUAACUGACGCUGAGGAGCGAAAGCAUGGGGAGCGAACAGG
RNAcentral lists this ribosomal RNA (253 nucleotides) under uncultured bacterium. RNAcentral's name for it is "partial 16S ribosomal RNA". It matches the Rfam family "Bacterial small subunit ribosomal RNA", at positions 524 to 776 of the family's 1533-position model. The record is from RNAcentral.